This 2584-nucleotide ribosomal RNA is filed under the name Leuconostoc mesenteroides. Its description in RNAcentral is "bacterial LSU rRNA". It matches the Rfam family "Bacterial large subunit ribosomal RNA", at positions 3 to 2596 of the family's 2925-position model. Lineage: Bacteria; Bacillati; Bacillota; Bacilli; Lactobacillales; Lactobacillaceae. The record is from RNAcentral.
UUAAGUUAAUAAGGGCGCGUGGUGAAUGCCUUGGCACUAGGAGCCGAUGAAGGACGUGACUAACUACGAUAAGCUUUGGUGAGCGGUAAGUACGCUAUGACCCAAAGAUUUCCGAAUGGGGAAACCCAACUCGUAAGAGUUGUCUGUAUCUGAAUACAUAGGAUAUUUGACGGAAUACGCUGUGAACUGAAACAUCUCAUUAGCAGCAGGAGCAGAAAGAAAAAUCGAUUCCCUAAGUAGCGGCGAGCGAACGGGGAAGAGCCCAAACCAACGUGCUUGCAUGUUGGGGUUGUAGGACUGAUAUAUAAGAGUUACAAAAGUGUUUUAUAGCAGAACAAGUUGGGAAACUUGGCUAUAGAGGGUGAUAGCCCCGUAAGCGAAAUGAAGCACACUCUUUUCAGGAUCCUGAGUACGGCCGGACACGUGAAAUCCGGUCGGAAUCUGCGGGGACCAUCCCGUAAGGCUAAAUACUCCCUAGUGACCGAUAGUGAACCAGUACCGUGAGGGAAAGGUGAAAAGCACCCCGGAAGGGGAGUGAAAUAGUUCCUGAAACCACGACGCCUACAAGAAGUCAGAGCCCGUUAAUGGGUGAUGGCGUGCCUUUUGUAGAAUGAACCGGCGAGUUACGGUAUCGUGCGAGGUUAAGGUGGAAAGACCGGAGCCGCAGCGAAAGCGAGUGUGAAUAGCGCGAAUAGUACGAUGCUGUAGACCCGAAACCAAGUGACCUACCCAUGGUCAGGAUGAAGGUGAGGUAAAACUUACUGGAGGUCCGAACCGGUGCAUGUUAAAAAAUGCUCGGAUGAACUGUGGGUAGCGGUGAAAUUCCAAACGAACUUGGAGAUAGCUGGUUCUCUCCGAAAUAGCUUUAGGGCUAGCCUCAUUAUAAGCAUACUGGAGGUAGAGCACUGUUAAGCCUAGGGGCCCAUCUCGGGUUACCAAAGUUUGAUAAACUCCGAAUGCCAGAUAUGUAUGAAUGGGAGUCAGACGAUGAGUGAUAAGAUCCACCGUCGAAAGGGGAACAGCCCAGAUCGCCAGUUAAGGUCCCUAAAUAUAUGUUAAGUGGAAAACGAUGUGAUAGUGCAUAGACAACUAGGAUGUUGGCUUAGAAGCAGCCACCAUUUAAAGAGUGCGUAAUAGCUCACUAGUCGAGUGCCAUUGCGCGGAAAAUGUACCGGGGCUAAACAUAUUACCGAAACUGCGGGUGCACGUAAGUGCGCGAUAGGAGAGCGUUGUAAGGGCGACGAAGGUAGAUCGUAAGGACUGCUGGAGCGCUUACAAGUGAGAAUGCCGGUAUGAGUAGCGAAAGACAGGUGAGAAUCCUGUCCACCGAAUGACUAAGGUUUCCUGGGGAAGGCUCGUCCACCCAGGGUUAGUCGGGACCUAAGGCGAGGCUGAGAAGCGUAGUCGAUGGAUAACAGGUUGAGAUUCCUGUACCAGUUGUAAUGCGUUAUUACCGAUGGAGGGACGCAGGAGGCUACCAGAUGCGCACUGAUGGAUAUGUGCGUGCAAGCAGUAAGUCUUGAAAAGAGUGAAAUGCUUUUUUCUAUAAGGACAAGCUGUGAUGCGGAUCGAAAUAAAGUAGAGAAGUCUGAGACGUCACACUGCCGAGAAAAGCUUCUAGGAAGUAUUACACUGCCCGUACCGCAAACCGACACAGGUAGUCGAGUGGAGAACACUAAGGUGAGCGAGAGAACCCUCGUUAAGGAACUCGGCAAAAUGACCCCGUAACUUCGGGAGAAGGGGUGCUCAUGGUAAAACAUGAGCCGCAGUGAAUAGGCCCAGGCGACUGUUUAUCAAAAACACAGGUUUCUGCAAAAUCGUAAGAUGAAGUAUAGGGGCUGACGCCUGCCCGGUGCUGGAAGGUUAAAAGGAGUGCUUAGCUUCGGCGAAGGUACGAAUUGAAGCCCCAGUAAACGGCGGCCGUAACUAUAACGGUCCUAAGGUAGCGAAAUUCCUUGUCGGGUAAGUUCCGACCCGCACGAAAGGCGUAACGAUCUGGGCACUGUCUCAACGAGGGACUCGGUGAAAUUUAAAUACCCGUGAAGAUGCGGGUUACCCGCGACAGGACGGAAAGACCCCAUGGAGCUUUACUGUAGCUUGAUAUUGAAUGUUUGUGCUGCUUGUACAGAAUAGGUAGGAGACGUAGAAGAUUGGACGCUAGUCUAGUCGGAGUCGCACGGUGGGAUACUACCCUCGUUGUAUGAACAUUCUAACACUGGUCACUCAACGUGAUCGUGGACAGUGUCUGGCGGGCAGUUUGACUGGGGCGGUCGCCUCCUAAAAGGUAACGGAGGCGCUCAAAGGUUUGCUCAGAAUGGUUGGAAAUCAUUCGUAGCGUGUAAAGGCAUAAGCAAGCUUGACUGCGAGAGCUACAACUCGAGCAGGUACGAAAGUAGGACUUAGUGAUCCGGUGGUUCCGCAUGGAAGGGCCAUCGCUCAACGGAUAAAAGCUACCCUGGGGAUAACAGGCUCAUCUCCCCCAAGAGUCCACAUCGACGGGGAGGUUUGGCACCUCGAUGUCGGCUCAUCGCAUCCUGGGGCUGUAGUCGGUCCCAAGGGUUGGGCUGUUCGCCCAUUAAAGCGG